This 80-nucleotide transfer RNA is filed under the name Mycobacterium attenuatum. RNAcentral describes it as "Mycobacterium sp. MK41 tRNA-Ser". Lineage: Bacteria; Bacillati; Actinomycetota; Actinomycetes; Mycobacteriales; Mycobacteriaceae. The record is from RNAcentral.
GUUUCGGAUUGGGCGCGGCACUGACGCUGAGCCGGUUGCUGGUCGGCUUGGCGCCCCGGCUCAACCCCGGGCUGAACCCC